This 91-nucleotide ribosomal RNA is filed under the name Mycobacteroides abscessus subsp. massiliense. The record is from RNAcentral. Lineage: Bacteria; Bacillati; Actinomycetota; Actinomycetes; Mycobacteriales; Mycobacteriaceae.
CACCUGUUCCCAUGCCGAACACAGAAGUUAAGCUCCUUAGCGCCGAUGGUAGUCGGACUGACGUUCCGCUAGAGUAGGACGUUGCCAGGCA